Molecule: small RNA, 127 nt
Filed under: Marmota monax (woodchuck)
Lineage: Eukaryota; Metazoa; Chordata; Mammalia; Rodentia; Sciuridae
Source: RNAcentral
GCAGGGCACAGUGGUGCAUGCCUAUAAUCCCAGCUGCUCAGGAGGCUGAGGCAGGAGGAUUGUGGGUUCAAAGCCAGCCUCAGCAACAUGGUGAGGCCUUAAGCAACUCAGUGAGAUCCUGUCUCUA